This 558-nucleotide ribosomal RNA is filed under the name uncultured bacterium. RNAcentral's name for it is "bacterial LSU rRNA". It matches the Rfam family "Bacterial large subunit ribosomal RNA", at positions 23 to 579 of the family's 2925-position model. The record is from RNAcentral.
GGUGGAUGCCUAGGCAGUCAGAGGCGAAGAAGGACGUGGACAGCUGCGAAAAAGCUCCGGGGAGCCGCUAACAGGCUUUGAUCCGGAGAUCUCCGAAUGGGGCAACCCGCGCAGGGACUACCUGCCAGUCGGCGGUGAAUACAUAGCCGUCAGACAGCCAAGCCAGGGAACUGAAACAUCUUAGUACCUGGACGAAAAGAAAUCAAAAGAGACUCCCCAAGUAGUGGCGAGCGAACGGGGACCAGCCUAAACCCGUGGAGGUCAAACUCCCCGGGGGUCGUGGGGUCUGCGAUGUGGGACUCGAGAAGCUAGACGAACGGCAUGGAAAGGCCGGCCAUAGCGGGUGACAGCCCCGUAGUCGAAAGCGGACAGAGCCCUAGCGGAUACCCGAGUACCGCAGGACACGAGAAAUCCGGCGGGAAUCUGGGAGGACCAUCUUCCAAGGCUAAGUACUCCUGACUGACCGAUAGUGAACUAGUACCGCGAGGGAAAGGUGAAAAGAACCCCGGUUAGGGAGUGAAAUAGUACCUGAAACCGUGUGCCUACAAGCAGUGGGAG